Molecule: long non-coding RNA, 5260 nt
Filed under: Sus scrofa (pig)
Lineage: Eukaryota; Metazoa; Chordata; Mammalia; Artiodactyla; Suidae
Description: lncRNA (ENSSSCG00005003181.1)
Source: RNAcentral
GGGGAUGCCAGCUGGGAGCCCUGGCCCAGUGCGGCCUGUGUCUGUGGAGGCCCCAAGAAGGUGUCCUUAGUUCCUGAGCUGGGCCAUCCCCAUGACCCUGACCCAGGUGCCCUGAUACCCAAAUGGGCCCUGCUCUCCCCAGGACCUGGCACCCUGGGGCUUGAAGCAUGGCAUCCAUGGAUAAGUCCUGGCCCUACUACCCCUGUGCUCAAGCUGGUCCAUGGGAAGUUGGCUCCACCCCCUUUCUCUUCUGAGCUCCCUGGUGGUCAAGGAGCACAAGAUGGCCCUCUGGAGUGGCCAUUCGGUCUAUCUGUUCAUAUGAUCCAGAAACAUUGGGGCAGCUGCCAAGGGCCCCUGCUGGGAGGUAUCGAGUGCCUUCAGAGGGCUUUACUUUCAGACAGUACCAGUCAGAGAAAUUCAGAACUGACCCCAACUCCAAUUUCAACCUUGACCUUAACCCUAACCCCAGAUCCAGCCUUGGCCUCAGUCUGCUAGCCCAGCCUGCCUGGGGCAUGCUUCCAGUGGCUUUCUCAUCCCAGCUGCUGUUCAAGCCAUUUUGUCCACCCUGAGUGCCCCCACUCACACCUGCACACUGCCAAGUCCAGCCUCUUCCCACCUCCUAUUUUAGACAAGAGUACCCAGGCCAAGAGAGACAUGCGACUUGUCCAAGGCCAUGGAGAGUCAGGGCAGCAUGGCCUGGGGCAGGAUGUCCCUUUCCCAGGAGGCCAGCUCUUCAUUCCCUGGAGAAAUGGGUUAAGGGUCCACAAGGCCCUGGACCAGAGCCCAGCACUCUAGGAGCUGGUGACAGUUCCCUGCCAGAGCAGGUUCGGAGGGGAGGCAGAGUGUGCCAAGGUUUCAGCUUUUUGACAGCUGUUCUCAGUGGGAGGGGUGCUCGGGGACUGGCCCCAGUCUUGCUGACUGAGCCUCAGUAAAUGGGGUCACUCUGCAGCCCCGCCCACAAACCGGCCACGUGCCUCUGAGGAGACAGGCGGAGAGCAGCCGAGCCCGGCAGACGUGGUCGGGGCGUCCAUGGCACGGCUGUGGUCCUGCCUCCUGCCAGAUGGAGGCUGGUGCUGAGAAGAAGGCCGCCCAGGCGGGACAAACCCCAGCACCUCCCUGUGACAGGGGAAAUCUAGUGGUUCCCAAGCAGCCACCUGCCGCCCCACUGCAACCGGAUCCCAGGGGCUCAUUCUCAAAUGCAGAUUCCCAGACCCUCGCAGGGCUGGGCCAGAGCCCAGGAAUCUGUGUUUGCAGCUUCCCAACCCCCAGGCUCUGAGCAGUGCUUGCCUUGCUGCCUCCAGAGGCCUGGCCAGCAUCAGGGUCUCCGGCGGGGCCUUCACCUUUCUGCAGAGGCCGCCUCCCUGUGCUCCUGGCUCCAGGGUCACAACCCCUUGCUGACCCUUCCUGGGCCAUAUUCUGCAGAAAAUCAGCCUGAGGCCAACCCUGUGGUCUUGUGCCCUCCCCUCCCCCCGCUUCCCUCUCAUCCAUCGUCUAUCCACCCAAAGCCCACCACCCCCACAGCACUUGUCCCCUGCCAUUGACCUCCCCUGACUUGGCGGCUGUGUGUCCUGGGCCCGCCUCCCAGCCACCACCAUGGCCACCGCCCGGCUCCCCGCCCGUCGGCCAGGGGCGGCCACUGGGCAAGGCUGUCAUUUUCCCUGCUGGAGAUUAUAGGUUUGGGGCUGAGGGAGUCUGAGCUGGAGGAAGAAGAGUGGGGACUCUUGCCCUGGUGCCAGUCCUGAGAGACACCUCACGGGUAGGACAGCCUGGUGUGAAGUGCUCUUUGGGGCAGGAUGGGGAUUCCUAUAACCUGACGUCACCCCAGCUCUGAGUGUGCAGGUGUACGUGGAUGGGUUCACCUCUCAAAAGGGUCAGACAGUCUCUCAUGCUCACUGAAUUUAGUUCUCCCAGCAGUUCUGCAAAGCAAGCCCAACUCAUUUCCCAGAGAGAAAAGACAGAACUCAGAAAGGGCAGUGCACUGGCCUGGGUCACACAGCAGGUUAGGGCAGAGCCAAGACUCUGCCUACCCUUGCUCUCGUUUGCUGCCUGGUUUGGUACUCUCUCUGCCCCGCCCUCACCCAUCCUCCCAUCUAUGAGGGCAGGGAGCAGGAGACUUGCUGGGAGAUCACAGCCUCCAAGAGGGGCUGCCCACCUGCUAGGUCGCCCAUCCAAUGGCAGGGGGUGGCGGCACCCAGCCCGCUGCUGAGGAAGGCUCUGCGGAGCAAGGUUUGGGAAGAAAGCAUGCAUCCCUUUUCUGCUCUGCCCUCACAGUGCCCCCCCCCCAGAGCUGGGUGUGGAAGGGACAGUUUGAGUCAGACUCAAGAGUGUCAGAAGCUGGAAACAUCUUGUGGGUGUGCAGAAACUGGAAACAUCUCGUUGUUCACAGCUGCGGGAACUAGGAUGGGGUUUCACACCAGUGGGGUGACCCCAACCAGACCCAGACCUGGGUCCCCUCGUUAUCUCCUCUGGGGGUAAUGCAGUGAGCAUCUGUGUGCCCAAGAACCCCAAAGGUUUGAGGAUUUGAGGGAACACGGUGGAGGGGUUCUCAAAACAGGCUCUGGAAUCAGACUCUGGAAAUAGACUGUGGAAUCAAAACAGACUCUUGGAAUUCCCGUCGUGAUGCAGCAGAAACGAAUCCAACUAGGAACCAUGAGGUUGCGGGUUCAAUCCGUGGCCUUGCUUGAUGGGUUAAGGAUCCGGCGUUGCCGUGAGCUGUGGUGUAGGUCUCAGACUCGGCUUGGAUCUGGCAUUGCUGUGGCUGUGGUGUAGGCCGGCAGCUGUAGCUCCGAUUGGGCCCCUAGCCUGGGAACCUCCCGGUGCUGCUGGUGCAGCCCUUAAAAGCAAAACAAAAAACAAAAAAAGCAGACUCUUGCUGGGUUGCUGGGCUGAAGUCACAGAACUUCUCUGAGGCUUGCCUCCAUGUGAUGUGUGUUUGAACGAGACAAACCUUAAACACUUAGUAUAGUACGAGAUAUGUGGUAAGUUCAAGGGAUGUUUACUAGCAUCCUCCUUCUCAGUUCUGUAGGUGCUAACAGGUCCUGUUCCCCGCCUUCUAAGCAGUGAGGACCAGGGCGUGAGGGCUGGCAGUUCGGUGGGACCCACUGGAUGGUAACUUGUGCCUGGUGGGGCUUCCCCAAGGCCUGGUUGCUCUGGAGCCAGCAUUUCUGAUAAGCAGAACCAGGCCCCCCCUAGACUGGCAACCACUCCCAGGGCUGAGCUGGCCAGAUCACUGGCUACCUGAGGAACCUCUGCAGAGCUAAUGCAUAGGUGGCCAGGUCACCUGGGCCAGCCCCAGGAACAGAGGCCGUGGAGAGGCCUGCCUGUUCUUGGGAAUUCACGGCAUGUCUGCCUGUCACAAGUGCCUCGAUAUGCAAGAUUUGUGGACGAGCCUUGCAAUUCUGUUUUCUCUGAGGGUUAUAAAUCAGCUGUAUGCACACCCUGGAUGCCACCCAGCCUGAGGCGCACACACAUGUACACUCCCAUCCACGCAUGGAAACACAGUCCAGACCCUACCCGCUGUUCCCCAGGGUGGGAGAAGGUGCUCCCCUGGGAGCUGAGCCCUAAGAAGGGAAAAACUCAGGCCACCAACUGCUGCCUGGCCUUACCAAAUACCAGAACCAUCCAGAAUCAAGGACUCAAGACUGAGGCAGGAUGUCCCAGUGGUCGGAGAAACAGCAUACCAUAGAAGUCAUUAGUGUGAACAUAGGGGGCCUCCCUGGCUGGGUCCAAACCUUGGCCCUGUAACUAUGCCCCUGAACAUAUUGCUUCUGGAACUCGGUGCCUCGGUUUCCCCAUCUGUGAAAUGGAGCUAAUUAUAGCAUGAAUGUCCUAAGAUGGUUAAGAAAAUAAAAUAAAUAAAUGUGUGUAGAAAGCUUAAAACAGGACAGGCUCAGGAAGGUUUGGCUCUCAUCACCAUUAAGUAAGGGUAUAUCUAGAUUUUGCCGUCACACCAGGGCUUGAAUUCCAGCUCUGCCUCUAGCUGUAUGAACUUGGCAAUGCUACUGAGCUCACCUGUAAAAUGGACUAUUACUACCUACUUCAUCGGGCUGUUCUGGCCUUAAAGGAGAUAAAGCUUAUAAAGGAUGCAAUAUCAGAUCCUCAGGAGACAUCAGCCAGUGCCCUGAUGUGGAAUGUAGGGACUGGAGCCUGUGACGGUAGCUUGGCUCCAGGGCGUCUUCCUGGGGAAUGUUUAGUUGGGGGGGGCGGAGCAGGGAGUGGGGUGGAGGGGAGUGGAAGGGAGAAUUCCAGGAACCUCUGUCUUCUCUUCAGCACCAGGGGAGUAAACCAAUAGCCAGAGCGACUUUCCCCUCCCUGCCCCUGUCCCUCCAUCCACCCCUCCCCUGAGAACAGGCUCGGAGACUGGCAGGUGUGACUCACGGCUCUGCCAUUCACUUACUGGGUGGCCUUAGGCAGGUCACUUGACCCCUCCAAUUCCCUCCAGCUAGGAAUAAUUGUGCCCACUUCCCCCAGCAACUGGAGAGAGAGUUAAAUGAGAGUGCCUGUGGGACCCUUAGCGCUGCGCUGGGCUAAGUGCUCUGCAGAUUCGAUUCUAUCACCAGCCCCUCUUGCCUCCUUUGCUCUCAUUCUCCCCCUCACACUCCACCCCUCCCACACCUGAUGUGGAUGGCAUCUUCCCAGGCCAGACGUUUAAAUAUUCCUCUCUCCGGGAAGAUGAGCUCUAAAACCCCAGAGGCGCCUCUGGAGCCACUUGAGCAAGCCUGGAUAGAGGGAGUUGACCUCAGAAAUUCAGACCCGCUGUCCUGUGAUGCAGUUCCCCUGUGCUAGCCACAGGAGGCUGAACAUGUUGGACAUGCGGCCUGGCCUUGCUGGACUACUGGCCACCCACCCCGGAGCCUCUGCUGCUCCCUCGAGGCCCUGGCAAAUGCAGGCUUGUUUCCAGGCUGUUGCUGGCAUUUUUACCUGCUCAGCCAUAAAGCCCUGGAAAGCGGUGAUCUGGGGAUGAGUAGCUGCUUGCACAAAUGCAGGGGGGGAGAGACGGGGACCGGUGCCCACAUUUUUGCAGAGCUGACAUUUUUGCACCUCUCCCACCCAGCACACUGCCUGGGAGAGCGGGAUGGUGACGGCUUGGCUGUGGAUAAUUGUCGGGAGCAUCCCAGGCCAAGCCUUGGUCUCCCAGCAGAACUUUGGAGGCUGGACUUCUCUGUUGUCAGGGAAACCAGUGUGUUCCCUGGAAAGGAAACCACAGCGCCUUUGGCUGUCUACACCCUCCUCCCUCCCCCACCAAAAAAAAAAAAAAAAA